This 534-nucleotide long non-coding RNA is filed under the name Homo sapiens (human). Its description in RNAcentral is "HSALNT0221970". Lineage: Eukaryota; Metazoa; Chordata; Mammalia; Primates; Hominidae. The record is from RNAcentral.
ACCAGACACAGUGCAGUGACACACUGUGAACCAGAAAGAUCUUGAAGAUGGUUUCAUCAGGGUGGGUUUCUGUGAGUCAGGAAUUCAGAAGUGGCUUCUGGCUCAUGGACCGUCCUGAGGUCGUCGUUAAAAUGUCAGCUGUGGCUGCAGUCUCCUGAAGCUUGCCUGGGCUGGAGGGGCUGCUUCCAAGAUGGCUCACUCACAUGGCUGCGGGCAGGAGGCCUCAGUUUCUCACCACAUGGACCUCUUGGUAGAACUACGUGAGUAUUCUUGGGGCUUGGCAGCUGGCUUCCCGUAGAGCCAGUGAUCCCAGAAAACAAGACAAAGAUUGCAAUGUCUUCCGUGACCUAGCCUCAGAAGUCACACUCUAUCACUUCUGCAAUAUUUGAUUCUAUUGAUUAUACAAAUUGGCCCUACUCAGUGUGGGAGGGGACUAUACCACAGCAUGAAUACUAGGAGCCAGGGAUCCUUGAGGGUCAUCUUGGAGGCUGUCUACUGGAAUGUUUGUAUUCAUUCCUUCAAUAAACAGUGUUU